This 36-nucleotide transfer RNA is filed under the name Anthyllis montana. Its description in RNAcentral is "partial tRNA-Leu". Lineage: Eukaryota; Viridiplantae; Streptophyta; Magnoliopsida; Fabales; Fabaceae. The record is from RNAcentral.
AAUCCGUCGAAUUUAAAAAUCGUGAGGGUUCAAGUC